Molecule: non-coding RNA, 2989 nt
Organism: Phacochoerus africanus (Common warthog)
Lineage: Eukaryota; Metazoa; Chordata; Mammalia; Artiodactyla; Suidae
Source: the annotation of a RefSeq genome assembly
GGGAGGUGUCCGUGUCCUCCCGGGGAUGAGGCCGGCUUGCCAGGAGGGGUCAGGGACCAGGAGCCUGUGGGAAGUUCUGACGGGGGCUGCAGGCGGGAAGGGCCCCACCGGGGGGCGAGCCCCAUGCCGCUGGGCGGCAGGAGACCCGUGAGAGUGUGCCUUGAGGAGGGUGUCUGUGGAACCACAAAUGCCCGCCGGGAAGGGCUUGCUGAAAUGCGGUCUUUAGACGGGAGGCGUCUUCUGCCCUCACCGUCUUUCAAACCCGUGUGGGUCUGAAAGAGCCAUGUCGGAGAGAGAAGGGAGAGGCCUGUCCUGACCUGGCCGAGAGAGCGGGCAGCCCCGGGGGAGAGCGGGGCGAUCGGCCUGGGCUCUGCGAGGCCAGGUCCAAGGGAGGACGUGUGGUCCUCGUGACAGGUGCACUUGCGAAACCUUAGAAGACGGGGUGUGUUGGAAGCGGCUCCUGAUGCUUAAGAAAAGGGAGACUGUAAAGUGAGCGGAGCCGUCAAGUGUGUUAAGGUUUUAAAGGUCGAAGUGUUUUCAGCCCUUGUGACUGCAGUUAGAAAACGUGCGGGGAGUGAAUGGGGUGCCAGGGUGGCCGAGAGGCAGGACGAGGGCCGUGCCGUCCUCUGAUUCAGGGCUUAGUUCUGCAGAAUAAAGUCGGCCUGUUUUCUAAAAGCAUUGGUGGUGCUGAGCUGGUGGAGAAGGCCGCGGGCAGCCCUGGCCACCUGCAGCAGGUGGCAGGAAGCAGGUCGGCCAAGAGGCUAUUUUGGGAAGCCAGAAAACACGGUCGAUGAAUUUAUAGCUUCUGGUUUCCGGGAGGUGGUUGGGCAUGGCUUUGCGCAGCGCCACAGAACUGAAAGUGCCCACUGAGAAAAAAACAACACCUGCUUAAUUUGCAUUUUUCUAAAAGAAGAAACAGAGGCUGACGGAAACUGGAAAGUUCCUGUUUUAACUACUCGAAUUGUGUUUUCGGUCUUAGCUUAUCGACUGCUCACUUAGAUUCAUUUUCAAAGUAAACGUUUAAGAUCCAAGGCAUUCAUAUCCUCUUCUAAGGCGUUAUCCCUGGAGGCUCAUUCACCGCCAGCACCUCCGCUGCCCGCAGGCAUUGCUGUCACUGUCACCGUGACGGCGCGCACGAUUUUCAGUUGGCCCGCUUCCCCUCGUGAUUAGGACAGACGCGGGCACUCUGGCCCAGCCGUCUUGGCUCAGUACUUGCAGGCGUCCGUCUCGGGACGGAGCUCGGGGGAAGAGCGUGACGUGACUCCAGUUGAACGUGAUGGUCGAGAGCCAGUCUGCCCCGAAUCUCUUCCCCCUCGUCUCCUGCGUCAGCCCCCCGUCCGAUGAGAGCCUGGUGGCCCUGGGCUGCCUGGCCCGGGACUUCCUGCCCAGCUCCGUCACCUUCUCCUGGAACUACAAGAACAACAGCAAGGUCAGCAGCCAGAACAUCCAGGACUUCCCGUCCGUCCUGAGAGGCGGCAAGUACUUGGCCUCCUCCCGGGUGCUCCUACCCUCUGUGAGCAUCCCCCAGGACGCAGAGGCCUUCCUGGUGUGCGAGGUCCAGCACCCCAGUGGCAGCAAGUCCCUGUCCCUCUCCGGGCCAGUCGUAGUGGAGCAGCCCCCCGUCUUGAACAUCUUCGUCCCCACCCGGGAGUCCUUCUCCAGUACUCCCCAGCGCACGUCCAAGCUCAUCUGCCAGGCCUCAGACUUCAGCCCCAAGCAGAUCUCCAUGGCCUGGUUCCGUGAUGGGAGACGGGUGGUGUCUGGCGUCAGCACAGGCCCCGUGGAGACCCUGCAGUCCAGUCCGGUGACCUACAGGCUCCACAGCAUGCUGACCGUCACGGAGUCUGAGUGGCUCAGCCAGAGCGUCUUCACCUGCCAGGUGGAGCACAAAGGGCUGAACUACGAGAAGAACGCGUCCUCUCUGUGCACCCCCAAUACCAACUCUCCCAUCACCGUCUUCGCCAUCGCCCCCUCCUUCGCUGGCAUCUUCCUCACCAAGUCGGCCAAGCUCUCCUGCCUGGUCACGGGCCUCGUCACCAGGGAGAGCCUCAACAUCUCCUGGACCCGCCAGGACGGCGAGCUUCUGAAGACCAGCAUCGUCUUCUCUGAGAUCUACGCCAACGGCACCUUCGGCGCCAGGGGCGAGGCCUCCGUCUGCGUGGAGGACUGGGAGUCGGGCGACAGGUUCACGUGCACGGUGACCCACACGGACCUGCCCUCGCCGCUGAAGCAGAGCGUCUCCAGGCCCAGAGGGAUCGCCAGGCACAUGCCGUCCGUGUACGUGCUGCCGCCGGCCCCGGAGGAGCUGAGCCUGCAGGAGUGGGCCUCGGUCACCUGCCUGGUGAAGGGCUUCUCCCCGGCGGACGUGUUCGUGCAGUGGCUGCAGAAGGGGGAGCCCGUGUCCGCCGACAAGUACGUGACCAGCGCCCCGGUGCCCGAGCCCGAGCCCAAGGCCCCCACCUCGUACUUCGUGCAGAGCGUCCUGACGGUGAGCGCAAAGGACUGGAGCGACGGGGAGACCUACACCUGCGUCGUGGGCCACGAGGCCCUGCCCCACACGGUGACCGAGAGGACCGUGGACAAGUCCACCGAGGGGGAGGUGAGCGCCGAGGAGGAAGGCUUCGAGAACCUCAACACCAUGGCCUCCACCUUCAUCGUGCUCUUCCUCCUGAGCCUUUUCUACAGCACCACUGUCACGCUGUUCAAGGUGAAGUGACGCCAGCCAAGCAUGUGGGGGACCAGAGACGGAACAGGAGGGGUGCCCCCUGGGGGUCCGGGGUCCCUGGCCACAUGGCCCGUCCACUUGUACUGAAAUCUUCCCCGUGUCCCUCGCCAGCUUCCAGCCCUAGAAACUGGCUUCUCUCCACGCGGCCGAAUGCUGCGGCCGAGCACGGCGCCCAUAGCCGUGGGCCCUGCCCAGCCCCGCCUGGCCCUGCUUUGUAAUGUGGCGCUUGUGGCCUUGAAAUAAACGCGUACGUUUUAUCUCGUG